Molecule: unclassified non-coding RNA, 236 nt
Filed under: plant metagenome
Description: partial contains small subunit ribosomal RNA, internal transcribed spacer 1, and 5.8S ribosomal RNA
Source: RNAcentral
UAUCCGUAGGUGAACCUGCGGAAGGAUCAUUACCGAGUGAGGGCCCUCUGGGUCCAACCUCCCACCCGUGUUUAUCGUACCUUGUUGCUUCGGCGGGCCCGCCUCACGGCCGCCGGGGGGCACCCGCCCCCGGGCCCGCGCCCGCCGAAGACACCAUUGAACGCUGUCUGAAGAUUGCAGUCUGAGCAUCUUAGCUAAAUCAGUUAAAACUUUCAACAACGGAUCUCUUGGUUCCG